GACGAACGCUGGCGGCGUGCUUAACACAUGCAAGUCGAGCGGUAAGGCCCUUUCGGGGGUACACGAGCGGCGAACGGGUGAGUAACACGUGGGUGACCUGCCCUUAGCUCUGGGAUAAGCCUGGGAAACCGGGUCUAAUACCGGAUAUGACUCCGCGGCGCAUGUUGUGGGGUGGAAAGCCUUGUGCGGCUGGAGAUGGGCCCGCGGCCUAUCAGCUUGUUGGUGGGGUGAUGGCCUACCAAGGCGACGACGGGUAGCCGGCCUGAGAGGGCGACCGGCCACACUGGGACUGAGACACGGCCCAGACUCCUACGGGAGGCAGCAGUGGGGAAGUAUUGCGCAAUGGGCGGAAGCCUGACGCAGCGACGCCGCGUGGGGA
This 379-nucleotide ribosomal RNA is filed under the name uncultured bacterium. RNAcentral's name for it is "bacterial SSU rRNA". It matches the Rfam family "Bacterial small subunit ribosomal RNA", at positions 28 to 407 of the family's 1533-position model. The record is from RNAcentral.